RNA transcript from Symphalangus syndactylus (siamang), 16237 nucleotides. It is a transcript of the gene named establishment of sister chromatid cohesion N-acetyltransferase 1, with no coding region annotated. NCBI's taxonomy places the organism in Eukaryota, Metazoa, Chordata, Mammalia, Primates, Hylobatidae. The record is from RefSeq and is a predicted model, not a curated record.
AAAUGGCAGCACAAAAGGAAAUCUAUAUUAAUAGAAUAUUUUGUUGAACAAAGGAGGUUAGAUAAGAACUGCAAACCAACAGACUCAGCAAACAAGGAAAGAAACGUGUUAGCCAUAAGACAUGUUUCAAGUGAAUCGAAGUCCAAUAACUGUAGACUUCAGAAGAAAAAAGUUUUCAAAAAUUUUAUCAAAACAGGUCACUGAUAAAUAACUCCUCCAGUAAUAGGGCUAGGCCUGAAACCAAAAUUAAUUAAAAAAUUAACAAAACAGAUUGAACCUGAAUUAAAUUUCUUUUGAUUAAAAAAACUUGUUAAAAAUAAUCAAAAUUUUCCUCAAAUUUUUAUUACCUUGUCCAAAGUAAAGCAAGUAUCUUUUAGCAUUCAUGCCAGCUUUUCUCAUGUUCUAGGAAUGACAGAAACCUUACUUGAAGCAAACUAGUAUUUUUGUUGAAAAUGUAUAUCAGCAUCAGUUAAAGUUGAUUGUUCAGACCUGCUCCUCAGUAAUAAUACUAGCUAAUCAGCAUUCACGCCUACCAGGACACAAAAAUCCUCUUCAAAACUACUCAGAAAAGAAAGUCAUUACUCAGGAAUGAUGUCCAUUCAGGAGAAAUCAAAAGAGAAUUCCUCCAAAGUUACUAAAAAAAGUGAAGAUAAGAAUUCAGAAACAGAAAUUCAGGAUUCUCAAAAGAAUCUAGCAAAAAAAUCAGGUCCAAAGGAGACUAUAAAAUCACAGGCGAAAUCUUCCAGUGAAAGUAAAAUAAAUCAGCCAGAAUUGGAAACACGCAUGAGUACAAGGUCAUCAAAGGCAGCAUCUAAUGAUAAAGCUACUAAAUCCAUUAAUAAAAAUACGGUGACUGUGAGGGGACAUUCACAAGAAUCUACAAAAAAGAAAUUAUCUCAGAAAAAAUUAGUACAUGAAAACCCCAAAGCAAAUGAACAGCUUAACCGGAGAUCACAAAGACUACAACAAUUAACAGAGGUUUCAAGAAGGUCUUUACGCAGUAGAGAAAUUCAGGGUCAAGUUCAAGCAGUUAAACAGAGUUUGCCAUCAACUAAAAAAGAGCAGUGUAGCAGUACUCAGAGUAAAUCUAAUAAAACAAGUCAAAAACAUGUGAAGAGAAAAGUACUGGAAGUAAAGUCUGACUCUAAAGAAGAUGAAAAUCUAGUAAUUAAUGAAGUAAUAAAUUCUCCCAAAGGGAAAAAACGCAAAGUAGAACAUCGGACAGCUUGUGCUUGUAGUUCUCAGUGCAUACAAGGAUCUGAAAAGUGUCCUCAGAAGACUACUAGAAGAGACGAAACGAAACCUGUGCCUGUAACUUCUGAGGUGAAAAGAUCAAAAAUGGCUACUAAAGUGGUCUCGAAAAAGAAUGAGAUGAAGAAGUCGGUUCAUACACAAGUGAAUACUAACACAACACUCCCAAAAAGUCCACAGCCAUCAGUGCCUGAACAAAGUGAUAAUGAGCUCGAGCAAGCAGGAAAGAGCAAACGAGGUAGUAUUCUCCAGCUCUGUGAAGAAAUUGCUGGUGAAAUUGAGUCAGAUAAUGUAGAGGUAAAAAAGGAAUCUUCACAAAUGGAAAGUGUAAAGGAAGAAAAGCCUACAGAAAUAAAAUUGGAAGAGACCAAUGUUGAAAGACAAAUACUUCAUCAGAAGGAAACAAAUCAGGAUGUGCAGUGUAAUCGUUUUUUCCCAAGUAGAAAAACAAAGCCUGUGAGAUGUAUACUAAAUGGAAUGAACAGCUCAGCCAAGAAGAACUCCAACUGGACUAAAAUUAAACUCUCAAAGUUUAACUCUGUGCAGCACAAUAAGUUGGACUCUCAAGUUUCCCCUAAAUUAGGCUUAUUACGAACCAGUUUUUCACCACCAGCUUUAGAGAUGCAUCAUCCAGUGACUCAAAGUACAUUUUUAGGGACAAAGCCACAUGAUAGAAAUAUAACUUGCCAGCAGGAAAAAAUGAAAGAAAUUAAUUCUGAAGAAGUGAAAAUUAAUGAUAUUACAGUAGAAAUUAAUAAAACCACAGAAAGGGCUCCUGAAAAUUGUCAUUUGGCUAAUGAGGUAAAACCUUCUGACCCACUAUUGGAUAAUCAGAUGAAACAUUCUUUUGAUUCAGCAUCAAAUAAGAAUUUCAGCCAAUGUUUGGAAUCCAAGCUAGAAAACAGUCCAGUGGAAAAUGUUACUGCUGUUUCGACUCUGCUCGGUCAAGCAAAAAUUGAUACAGGAGAGAAUAAAUUUCCAGGUUCAGCUCCCCAACAGCACAGUAUUUUCAAUAACCAGACAUCUAAAAGCAGUGAUAACAGGGAGACACCACGAAAUCAUUCUUUGCCCAAGUGUAAUUCCCAUUUGGAGAUAACAAUUCCAAAGGACUUGAAACUAAAAGAAGCAGAGAAAACUGAUGAAAAACAGUUGAUUAUAGAUGCAGGACAAAAAAGAUUUGGAGCAGUUUCUUGUAAUGUUUGUGGAAUGCUGUAUACAGCUUCAAAUCCAGAAGAUGAAACACAGCAUCUCCUUUUCCACAACCAGUUUAUAAGUGCUGUUAAAUAUGUGGGCUGGAAGAAAGAAAGAAUUCUGGCUGAAUACCCUGAUGGCAGGAUAAUAAUGGUUCUUCCUGAAGACCCAAAGUAUGCCCUGAAAAAGGUUGACGAGAUUAGAGAGAUGGUUGACAAUGAUUUAGGUUUUCAACAGGCUCCACUAAUGUGCUAUUCCAGAACUAAAACACUUCUCUUCAUUUCCAAUGACAAAAAAGUAGUUGGCUGCCUAAUUGCGGAACAUAUCCAAUGGGGCUACAGAGUUAUAGAAGAGAAACUUCCAGUUAUCAGGUCAGAAGAAGAAAAAGUCAGAUUUGAAAGGCAAAAAGCCUGGUGCUGCUCAACAUUACCAGAGCCUGCAAUCUGUGGGAUCAGUCGAAUAUGGGUAUUCAGCAUGAUGCGUCGGAAGAAAAUUGCUUCUCGCAUGAUUGAAUGCCUAAGGAGUAACUUUAUAUAUGGCUCAUAUUUGAGCAAAGAAGAAAUUGCUUUCUCAGAUCCCACUCCUGAUGGAAAGCUGUUUGCAACACAGUACUGUGGCACUGGUUCAGAAGGUCACCCUGGGGUUUGUAAAAUGGGAAGGUAGAAGAGAGUUGUGAGGUACACCAUCAUUUAAGAGUCUCAAAGAAGACUGCCUAAGAAGGCGUGAGCAGCAAGGUAGGAGAGCCAGAAGAGAGUGGUAGAAACCAAGGGAAAAAUGUCAAGAAUCAAAGAAUGGUCAACCCUGUCAUACCACAAUUGAAGACUGAAGACAGCCCAAGUGAUGUUAGGAAAAGAGCAGUCUCAGUGGAGUGGUGGAGGCAGCAGGGACACAGUGAGUAUACACUAAUGGCCACAGACUGCAGAAGAAGGUGAGUCUGUAAUUGCUGACUAUAUAAAGGUGCUUAUAAAUUUUUUGUUAGCAGCCCUCAUAUAGUUGUUGGUUGUUUAUAAAAAUGUCUAGCAUAGAGACGUUGUAAGAGCCACAAAUAUAGUCAGGAACUACAAGAUUUUAUGGAUGAUGCCUUUACCUGCAUGGACACACAAAUUAAAAGCAGUAUUUUACUACUUCAUAAUACGCAAGAGUGAACUUGGUUUGUCUACUGAAAGCCUGACUGUUGUAAGGACAGUCAGUGAGUACAACAAACCUGCAGUGUUAUUUUAAUUGUUCUUGUUUACUUUGCACGGCUGCCCAGCUAUAGAGUCUUAUCCUUCUGGAUGGGAACACAACUGUAUUCCUGCCCAUCCACAUUGCAGCUAGGGUUGAGAUUGCUGAGUUGAUUUCUAGGGUAGUGACUCUAGACAUACAUUUUCUUUCUCAUGGCUCUUGAGUCUUUUGGCAGAAAAAGGGAUGAGUUCUGUCUUUUAGCAACCCCCCAACCUUCUGGUAAAAAUAAAAUACAUUGGACUAGUAAAAAUAAAAUAUUUGGAAUGAAGUGGUCAGAAAACAACUUACGGGUGUUGCCUUUUUUUUUUUUUAAACUUAAUAAGCAUCUAUUGUCAUAAUCACUGAAGUAGAUGCUUUAACUCAACACUUGAUAGUUGAGAGCACAGUGAAUUUAUUAUGUGAAUGACUUUUUCAUUGGCCUUAGAGGCAAUUCCUAAAGUCAUCUUUAGCAGUAUUUUUACUGUUGUUGUUUUGUUUUCAGUGAAGCCAAGGUUUCAGUGUUAGAGUAGUAAUUCUCCUAGUCUCAGAGGAAGCUUUAAGGACCAGUUUCCAGUUUCUGUGUCUAAAGAGAAGCUUGAGAAAUGUUCAUUCUCUGGAUGUUGUUUCAGGCCUAAGUAGUUUAGUGUGAUGUUGCAGCAGUCAGUUUCACAGUUAAUAGUCUUUUCAAGGCAGCUGCUUUGGAAUGUAUAGUGGAACACCAGUAGUCUUGACUUUCCUCUGAAAGUCUGUCAUUACACGUACAAAUAUUUGUUGCCCUUCCUGAGGGUUCUCUGGCCUAGAAGAUUGUUUUCAUGGAAUCUAUGUCAAAUUCUUUUAAUUUACUACACUUUAUUAAUAGAUUGAAAGCCAUUUUUCUGGGACAACAAAGUUAUUUCUUCUCAAAAGUUGGUAAAAUUUUUCAGAAGAUAUAAUUCAUACUACAAUAACACCAUCUUCAUACUACAUAGUUCUAGCAACUUUGAGACGCUCUCAAAAAGUUUGAGAAGUUUUAACUGCAGAUUAACAAUAACACCUUGUAUUAGUUUUAGCAACCCAAAGUUCUGUUUCCAAAAGGACAUCAAAGUGAGUGUAGUUGCAAUCUGUCAAAUAAAAGAUUGGGAUCUACUAUUUAUGUUUUAAACAUCUCUUUAAUCUUGGUUGUCCAACCUAUAAUGUGACUUCCAGCCUUUUUAGGACGUUGCCAGAGUCAGGGAGCUUGUUUUCUUAACAUGCCAGAAAACUAUGAAGAAAAAAUAACUUUUUGGAGGGGGUGGGAGAUAACUUUAAUACAUUAAGCAAAUUAAAUCAAAGGACAAAACAUAACAGUAGACACAAGACAAUUUUGAAUCAUUAACAAAAUGUGAGGUAGACUAGUGAAAUUCACCAAAUUUUGGUUAAGAACAUUUUACAGUAAUAAAGUAACACAGGUGCCCCAUUUUCUAAAAAUCACAAAAAGCAAUUGCAUAAAUUACAGCCAAAAAAAAUUGACUACAACAAUUCUCUUCUAGUUUUUAGUUUACAUUCAGUAUUAACCUGUGUGAACUGUCAUACAUGCUGAGGUUCAGCAGGUCUACAGGUGAGUUACUGUGUGGGCCUAGCGAAUCCAUUCAUCCCACAUCAGUGUCCUAAGGGAUUGCAAAGCUUAAAGCUGAACACACUAGGAUAUAUAUAUAUAUACAAAUCAUGGUGUCCUGUGCUUGUGCAAUUUUAUCCUUAAAGAAGGACCUAACAUACUCAAGAAUUAUACUGAUAAGAUGAUUUUAAAAGAUCCAAACAUUAGUAAGAUAGGCUUUGAAAAGAAUAGGCAGGUCAGUUUCUCUGUUAUGGGGGUGAUGGUCUUUUGGCUUUAUUCUGGCAUAUCUAUCUCUUCCACAGAGUUAAAUAGUAUUUAAGAGCUCAUAAUAAUAAUUUGAAUUUUCAGAGUGCAGCCCUAACUAAUGGAGUACCUGCAUCUGAUGUAACUACUUAAAAAAAAAGUUCUUUAAACUAUGAAGUCAUAAAGCCAGAAGAAACCCUGAGAGGCCAUCCACCCCAGGUACAAUUGUUUUAGAAUUCUUUCAAGUAUUUUAUUUGCUCUAUGUAAAUGUUAUUGGAAUAUUGCACAGACAGUGGGUUUCUUGGUAUUAUUUGCAUUAGGCCCUUUCAACAAAACAGGAACAAGUGAAAUACAUUCAUAUUUAAACCAAACUGCUUCAAAACAUACCUCUUUACCAAAAAUUCUGCUGCACUAAAAUUAAGGAGUAUUUUUUAAAGCAUAUAUAAGGCAGGUCCUCUUUGAAGGACAAUUAAAAAUGGGGUUAAAAGGAAUUGUUCACUUCAAAAUACAGUUAAAGCAUUAUAAGUAGCUAUAUUAAAACCAAGAGAUCUGCAAACCAUUUUUAGUCUAAUACAUUCCAUGUUUUCACUAGCUUUGUAAACUCCUUGUUGUCAUAAGAUAAUAAAGCUGGUCAAUUAACACUAUUUGUUCUAAGUAAAUGCAGGCUUAGUAGGCCCCUCAGUAGUUUCAGGUCACAAACAAGAUCGAUUCAAGUGAAAAUGGCCAUUUGAAGUGGGGAUAAAGUAGUAAAUAUGGGCUAAUGAGAAAACUCUGAAGAGAUUGUUCAAUGAUGAGAACUGGAGUAAUUUAAGAGUAAACUUCUAAGACUUAGUUUUGUCUAGAACACUUUCUAAAAAUAAUGUUUUUGAUUAAAAUAUUUGAGAAAUCUGUAGAAACAUAUGCCUCCCAUUGCUGAUACUGGACAAACACCCCCUGCUGAUUUUAAUGAAUCAAAAAGACUCUUAAUGGAGUCUUCCUUACUCCUCACAAGAGUCACUGGUAAGAUUAAGUAAAAAAACAUUUCUCUUUCUAUGGCUCAAUUUCCCAAUUCGGCAAUUUCUGUGGCGUUGUCUGUGUAAGGUGGUAAUAUUUAGUGCAUCUUUUAAAGGAAGCUUUGCUUGAGUCCCUGAAAGGAAGCAAACUAGUUUCACUCUGCAACAGAACCUCAGCCUGACAUUUAGGUUUGCUGGUGCCAACUGCUUAAUUCUAACCAAAUGGUGGGUGCAGGUUACCUGCUGAAAGCUUAACUCAACUGACUUAAUCAAAUUCUUGCAAAAGAUUAAUCACUGUUCCAUAGUCUCAUAGAUAAGAUAUUCUUAAAGACUGGAAACACAUUUAAAGAAUGGGUAAAGCAAAGGAAUUAGGCUAGGAGAAGAUGCAUAAAUGCACACAAUGCCUGCUCUGCAUUUACUGAUUUGUUUGUUCAGUUUAAAUAGUAAACUUUUAACUCCUGUGGAAAUUUUGCCAAAAGUUUCAAUACAUAGAAGAUUAUAAAUCUUAAACUAACACUGCACAGAGAAAGACAAAGCUACUUAUUUUUUUAAAUACAAAUAUCGUCUACAUUCUAUCAUUUCAAACCCCUGAGUAAUACUGUACCAAAGUACAGAUCUGAAGAGAAACUGAGGGUUCAGGCCUCAAACGUUAAUCUUCAAUUAAUUCCACACCAAUGGCAUGAGUCUCAUGUAACACAUUCAGGCUAGUUAAUCCUGACAGUCAGUUUCCCUCUAACAUAGUGUAAUAGAAAAAAAUAAUGCAAACUCCAUAUUCACUCUCCAAAGUAUAUCCUCCUCAGGAUCCCAUGGGCAGACCGUAUCUUAAGUAAUUGCAUAACUGCCUAGGGUAGAGUUUACCUGAAUUUAAGGGUCCUGUAAUUGGAACUGAAGGAAAGUGAUGUCCCCAAAGACCUGGAUUGGAUUUGGGGAGUUCUUUGGAGAAUUUAGACAAAUAUGUUGCACUUUGCUUCACAGUGAUUGUACUUUAAAGGAAAAAAAAAACUCAAAUUUUUUCUGUCCCAUCCCACCUAGGCAUUUUUCUGCUGUUUUUGGUCUCUUCAAAAGCUCAUACAUGACGUCCAGUAAGAAAGUAGAGAGGCUUGUCAUCACUGCUGUUAGCAGUUUGAAACUCGUCCCGGAGGCGGAACUGCCACUCAUCUUCUAGCUCUAAGCGGACAAUUGUUUGGCGCAAGGAACUUCUGUCUUGGCAGAUGACACACAGCGUAGCACCUUCAGGAAAAAAGACAGAAAUAUGUCCUAGGCUCAGGGAUUGAGUUUAUAAAGAAUUUUAUCUCUGAUUAUAUUUCCUAAGCUAACACAUCUGAGAACCAACAGAUGGAUAAGCAAACUACCAGAAUUGUUUAAUUUUAUUAAGUAGUUUUGCAAAUUUAGUAAUUUUUUUUUUUUUUUGAGACGGAGUCUUGCUCUGUCUCUAGGCUUGAGUGCAGUGGUGCGAUGUCGGUUCACUGCAACCUCUGCCUCCUGGGUUCAAGCAAUUCCCCUGCAUUAGCCUCCCAAGUAGCUGGGACUACAGGCAUGUGCCACCAGGCCCAGCUAAUUUUUUUUUUUUGUAUUUUAGUAGAGAUGGGGUUUCAUCAUGUUGGCCAGGAUGGUCUCGAUCUCCUGACCUCGUGAUCCACCUGCCUCAGCCUUCCAAAGUGCUGGGAUUACAGGUGUGAACCACUGCGCCCAGCCCAAAUUCAGUAAUUUUUAAAAGAGUAUAAAGUAAGUAAUCUUCCAACCACAUUCCCUCUUCCCUGUGAUAACUAAUGUUAUGUUUCUCAUGUGUUCCUCCUAGAUUAGGGUUUCUGAACCUCAGCACUAUUGGACUUGGAUAAUUCUUUGUUGUGGGGGCUAUUCUGUGUCUUCCUUUUUGUUUUUUUUUGGAGACAGAAUCUUGCUUUGUUGCCCAGGCUGGAGUGUGGUAGCGCAAUCUUGGCUCACUGCAACCUCCGCCUCCUGGGUUCAAGCAAUUCUCCUGUCUCAGCCUCCCAAGUAGUUGGGACUACAGGUGCACACCGCCACUCCCAGCUAAUUUUUUGUAUUUUAGUAGAGACGGAGUUACACAGUGUUGCCCAGGCUGGUCUCAAACUCCUGAGCUCAGCCAAUCCACCCACCUUGGCCUCCCAAAGUGCUGGGAUUACAGGCGUGAGCUGUCACAGCUAGUCUUGUUCUGUGUCUUGUAGGAUGUUUAGAAUCUAAACAUCCUCCAGUCUUGGCUUCUGCCCACUGUAUGCCAGCAAGCAGCAGCCUCCAGUGUGACAAUCAAUCAGAAAUGUCUCUGUCUCCUGGGAGGCAAAAUCUACCAUUCCCCCAUCCCCAAUAAGUCUCUAAAUAAAUAAAUAAGUGAAUGAAUGAAUGCACAGUCCCCCCACAACCCCGCUCCCUGUUCUCAUGCUGCACAGUGUUCUGAACCUCACUUUCUUCACUGAUCUCAAAGGUCAUUUUAUAAGGAUUAUCUGUGAUGUUUAAUCUUAGUUUGUUCUUAGACCAGUCUCUCUCUUUUUUUUUUUUUUGAGAUGGAGUUUCACUGUUGUUGCCCAGGCUGGAGUGCAAUGGCACGAUCUUGGCUCACUGCAACCUCUGCCUUCCGGGUUUAAGCGAUUCUCCCGCCUCAGCCUCCCGAGUCACUGGGAUUACAGGCAUGCGCCACCACACCCGGCUGAUUUUGUAUUUAUUUAUUUAUUUUUGAGAUGGAGUCUCGCUCUGUUGCCCAGGCUGGAGUGCAGUGGCACGAUCUCGGCUCACUACAAGCUCCACCUCCCGGGUUCACGCCAUUCUCCUGCCUCAGCCUCCCCAGUAGCUAGGACUUCAGGCGCCCACCACCAUGCCUGGCUAAUUUUUGUUGUAUUUUUUAGUAGAGACGGUUUCACCAUGCUAGCCAGGAUGGUCUCGAUCUCCUGACCUCGUGAUCCACUCGCCUCGGCCUCCCAAAGUGCUGGGAUUACAGGCGUGAGCCACUAUGCCUGGCCUCAAGUGCUUUUUAAAAAUAUCUUUAUCUUCUGUAUUUUGCUCAGUGGGAACCAAUAGCAAUUACAAGCAAGAUACUAAAUUUGACUUACCUUUUAGAAAUUUAAAUUUCUUAAGAAGAUCAGCACCUACAAAAGAGUCACAGAGGUACAAAAGGAGUCCACUGAAAAACACCCCUUCACAGUUGACAUUGCUGGAGUGGGGUCUGGAGCUGAUAUAGCAUACUGCCACCUGAAAUCAUCAAGCAGAAAUAGCAUGGGCAUUUCAAGAGCAAGCAAAAUAUCUGCAGUUCAGCAGAAUGAGGAGUCAGUACCUUCCUUUUUGUCUAUUUCAAGAUAAGGUAAAGGAGAUGAGUUUUUUCCAAUGUUAACUUAAAUGGCUUGGUUAGUUAAGCUUUGCAGCCUCUUUUAUGUAGCAUGCCAAGUGUUAACCUAUUUAAAGCUUCUCUUAUUUAUUUCUCAUAAUAAAGGACUAUUAGGAGACAAAUUAGUAGUAAGAAACAAGCCCUUCCAUUUAAGAGUCUUAUCAAAUUUAAAAAACUACCUUCCACAAAAAAGCAUACUUAGGAAAGAUUAAAUGUUUGGAUUGCUUUAUUGGUGAGAAUAAAAAAUAUUUUUGACCAGCUUUCCAUUUAGAUAUACUUAAAUUUUCAAUUGGAUGGAAGCUUAAGACAGUGCAUGGGCUGGGUGUGGUGGCUCACGCCUGUAAUCCCAGCCCUUUGGGAGGCCAAGGUGGAUGGAUCAUCUGUGGUCAGGAGUUAGAGAGCAGCCUGGCCAACGUGGCAGAAUCCCGUCUCUACUAAAAAAUACAAAAAAAGUUAGCCAGGCGUGAUGGUGCACACCUGUAAUCCCAGCUGCUUGGGAGGCUGAGGCAGGAGAAUCGCUUGAACCCUGGAGGUGGAGGUUGCAGUGAGCCAAGAUUGCACCAUUGCACUCCAGCCAGGGUGACAAGAGUGAAACUCCAUCUCAAAAAAAAAAAAGACAGUGCAUGAAUUUAAAUUUUUGGUUCUAUCUGGCUUCUGUGAACAGAAGAUAACUGCAAAAAUUACAGAGAAGUAAGUAAGAUAGUUGGGAGUUAAAACAGUGGAAUGGCUAAAUGCAUGAGCCGGUCUGCUUGGGUUCAAAUACUGGUUCCUCCAUUUAGUAGCCAUGGAACAAUGAGCAGUCUCCUUCAUUUCACUAUACCUCAGUUUCCUCAUCUGUAGAGAUAACAAUAGUACUUGUUUCAUAGGAUGUUUUCUGAAUUAAAUAACUUAGUAUUCAGUAAAUGUUAGCUGUUGUUAGGUAUUGAGAUUGUGUUAAUACCUAGAGCCCUGGACUCUAGGAUAGGGGAAUUGGAAUAUCUGGAUCAGACAUGUAAAUUACAUACAUCUUUUACAGUACUUACAUAAAUACUGUAAAAGAUGUUAGUAGAUCUCGUGGGUGUGGGUUUUUUUUUUUUUUUUUUGAGAUGGGGUCUCUGUCACUUAGGCUGUAAUGCAGUGGCACAAAUCAGAUCACUGCAACCUUGAAUUCCUGGGGUCACGUGAUCUUCCCACCUCAGCCUUUUGAAUAGCUGGGACUACAGGCAUGUGCCAUCGCACCUGGCUAAUUAUUUUUAUUUUUUGUAGUGACAAGGUGUUACCAUGUUGUCCAGGCUGGUCUCGAACUCCUGGCCUCAAGUGAUCCUCCCACCUCAGCCUCCCAAAGUGCUGGGUUAUAGGCAUGAGCUUCUAUGCCUGGCCUUUACAUCUGAUGGUUUUUAAGGUUCCUUCUACUUCUAAAAUUCUAUAAUUCAUUACCCAAUCUACAGUGUAGAUUAUUGAAACAUAAAAAUGGGAAUGUAAAAUGUUUACACUGUGAAGUUUUAAAAAUUAGUUUCCAAAACUGAAUACAGUUGGACUUUAGCGUUAAAAGAGUAUGUGUAUGGAUACGUGUGUUUUUUUCAAUACGUACAAAGAAAAAGCCCUGGAAGGAAAUGUAGUACACCAAAAUGUUCUUCUGGCAGGUGACUUUACUUUCUUAUGAUUUUAAAACAUUUUUUACAAGGAGGAUGUAGUACAGUAAUCAUUUCUAAAGGCACAGCUUAGUAGCAGGAGCCUGGAAGUGCAAGUGGCAGUUUUAAAAAAAACUAAAACGUGAAAAAUUUUACAAAGAAGUCCAAGGGGUGGAAAGUGGAGAAAUGCCACCUCUAAAGGCUUUAGGUGGUACACGUUUAUUUGUUCAAUAAUCACUGAGCUCCUCUUAACGUAUGUCUAAAACAAUGGCUAAGACAUUGUGUGUCUUUGAAGAACUCACACUUUUAUGAAGAAAAACCCACAUAAGUACAAUAUAAUCUGAUGAAUGUUAAGAGAAGUGGGAGCAAGCAACUGCUGCCCAAAGUCACGGAGGUAGGCUUCUCAGAGAUGCUGACAGCUGAGUUGUAUGUUCUCUGGCCCAUUUGUGGAGAUAAAAUAGGCAUGGGGAGGGCAAACUGCCAUUGCAUGUUGUGUGAGCCUUUGCAUAAGUGAGUAUGCAAAAGGGCAGAAAUACAAGUUUUGAUCUGUAUUACUAUCUUUAAUAAAAGUUCUGGCAAAGGACCAGACUGGCAUCUUGAUUUAUAUUUCAUGUCACAGGCUCCUUUUUUGCAAACAGCUAAAAUGAGAAAGAAAUGGAUGGAUGUAGGUAAGCACAGUAUCCCCCACACCCUUUUUACCUCUGGUCCAAUGUUAAGGUAGCAGUCAAUGGCCAGCACAGGACUCCUGAAGUUAUGGAUGGCUUUGGGGAAGAGUUUAUAUGAGGCGUGCUGAAGGAAUUUCUCCAGGAGAAACUGUGCAGGGGCUGCCAGUAGCGUGUGUUCACUGUCGGGAGCACAGAUGUAUUGAAGGGGCAAGAUGGGUGCUAAGCUCUCUGACACCUGAAAUCAGAGCCGAGAUGAUCAUGGGAAACUUGUCUGUCACUGGAUUAAACAGAUGCCCCUGACCAGCACCCCCUAGCAAUGUGAGGGGGCACUACCCCAAGGAGAGAACCACUGAUUUGGCCCAGGCGUAGUUUUACAGAUGAUGGACUUGAGAUAUGGAGAGGUGAGAUGACUUUCCUUUUUCAUACAGUUAAGAAGCAUGACUGCGUGUGGUGGCUCACACUUGUAAUCUCAACACUUUGGGAGGCCGAGGCGGGAGGAUUGCUUGAGCCCAGGAGUUCAACACCAGACUGGGCAACAUCUCUACAAAAAAUUAUAAACAAAAAACACAGUUGGGGCUAAAACCAGGUCUCCUGAUUUGAGAUGUCAGCAGUCUUUCUCCGUAAAUCGUAGUGUCUCAACAGACUUUAUUUUUGUUUUUUUGAGACAGAGUCUUGCUCUGUCACCCAGGUUGGAGUGCAGUGGCACAAUCUCAGCUCACUGCAACCUCUGCCUCUUGGAUUCAAGUGAUUCUCUUGCCUCAACCUCCCAAGUAGCUGGGACUACAGGCACGCGUCACCACGCUCAGCUAAUUUUUGUAUUUUUAGCAGAGACGAGGUUUCGCCAUGUUGGCCAGGCUGGCUGGUCUAGAACUCCUGGUCUUAAAUGAUCAGCCCGCCUUGGCCUCUCAAAGUGCUGGAAUUACAGGCAUGAGCCACCAUGCCUGGCCUCAAUAGACUUUAAUAGCUAACCAAUGCUGUGAUCCCAGAAUGGUCCAGGAAUUUAAUGGGCUACUGAAUGUCUAAAUAAAAGAUUCCUAAGUCACCACAAAAUGUUCUAGUGAGGGUUGUCUCAUGGUUGACUGUUUUGCUCUGGAAAGCUGUCUCUCUCUCACUUACUUCCGUAUGUAACUGUAGUCAAGAAAUGUUUUGUCCUGUCUACAGCAUUGUGUCAUACACCCCCAGAACAGCUUGGAAGUCUACCUGGAUGGCUCCUGAACACUGUGAAUGUUCCAUAGGACACAUGAGUCAUCCAUCAUGACGAUGAAAGGCCAGACACACUGGCGUUUAAUGCCUAGCUCCUCCAGGCGGUUUCUCUCCAGUUCUAGGUUGUGAUAUGAUAGCUCCUUGAUGAGGAACCUGGCAGCACCUGGAAGGCAACAUAACCACAUCUGCAUAUCCACACAUCCUUCACUCAGGCUUGGCUGAAGCCCCACAGGCAGCUAUAUUCUCUCCACAGAAUGCCUGUUCACAUGGGAACCAUGCAGGUGGGAGCCAACCAAAUGUUCAGAGCAGUGGCUCUCAAACCAGUGUUACUGGGGAAUCACUUUUAAAUGUAGAUUCUUAAGAGUCCAUUACUAGAACUGCAUUUGAGUAGGUAUGGUGAAGGGGCAGAAACCAGAGAUAUCUUUGAGGAUGCAAAUGAUAUGAACCACACUUUGAAAGUAUUGCAAGAAUCCAGUUUCCCUCAUAGGACAAAGGAAUCCACAUCUAGGAAAUGCUGUUACUGUUUACUUCCUUGAAGCACGACAAGAGGCUCUCUCAGACUUGGAAGCAGCCACUCACAUGUCCUGUACUAGGGAGUUAACUGGGCUGCAGUGAGUGGGUAUGCCAAUUCCACUGAUAUGUCCCCUGCUUUAGAUACUUCAAGGAAACUGACAGCAGCUUCUUUUCUGAAGAAGACUCUGGAAACUGGCACCCUUUCCCUAGAUCUGCCUUUUGCAAGAGGCAAUAUGGUAUAGAGAUUAAGAGAAUAGACAGGAGCCAAACUGUCUGAUUUUGAAUCCUAAUUCCACCACUUUCUAGCCAUGUGACCCUUAACAAAUUAAACCCAUUGUGCCUUGGCUUCCCCACCUCUAAGAAGGCAAUAAUAAUGGCAAUCUCAUAGGGUUUCUGUAUGAUGCUCAGGAUAGCGCCUAGCACCCUCUAAGUACUUGGUGAAUGUUAGUGAUUAUCAAGAUGAUAGUCAGGAAUCAGCCAAAUUUUAUGAGUGGGCCAUCCUAAAAUGAAACAAAAUGUAGGUGAUAAAUGAAAGAAAAGCUAUUAAAUCUAUGGAAGAACCCAAAGCAGUGUGAACAGAUCAAGGGUAAAACUGGGAUUUAGGAAAAUCUACCUUCCAAGAACAUGUGUGUAAUAGUUCACAUUCUCAACAUAACAAAGGCCGUAUGAAAAGCCCGCAGCUAACAUCAUCAUAGUCAAUGGUGAAAGACUGAAAGCUUUUCCAAAACUGAGAUCAGGAACAAGACAAGGAUGCCACUUUUACCAUUUCUAUUUAACGUAAUACUGGAAGUCACGGCCAGAGAAAUUAAGAAAAAAAGGGCAACCAAAGAGGAAGGAAGUAAAAUUAUCUCUGUUCCCAGGCAACAUACACAUAGAAAACUAAAAAUUCCACCAAAAAUCCCCUUUAGAAUGAAUAUGUGAAUCCAGCAAAGAUGCAGAUGCAAAAUCAACACCAAAAUCAGUUGCAUUUCUAUACCUCAACCGUGAACAAUCUAAAGGAAAUCAAGAGUUCCAUUUACAAUAGCAUCAAAAAGAAUUAAAGACUUAGGAAUCAACUUACUUACCUAAGGAGGCAAAAGACUUGUACAGUGAAAAGUACAAAGCAUUGAUGAAGGAAAUUAAGGAAGACACCAAUAAAUGGAAAGACAUGCUGUGUUUAUGGAUUGGAAGACUUGAUACUAGAUACCAGUGCUAUCCAAAGUGAUCCAUAGCCUUAAUGCAGUCCCCAUCAAAAUCCCAAAGACUUUGCAGAAAUACAAAAAUCCAUCCUGUGAUUCGUCCAGUAUCUCAGGGGAUCCCAAAUAGCCAAAACAAUCUUGAAAGAGAGGCAAAGUUAGAGAUCUCACACUUACUGAUUUCAGAACUUACUACAAAGCUAUAGUAAUGAAAAUAGUGUGGUAGUUUUGAUCUGGGCCUAUAGAAAGCCCAGAAAUAAACCCUCUCAUAUAUGGUCAAAUGAUUUUUGACAAAGGUGCCAAAGCCAUUCAGUGGGUAAAAGAUGGUCUUGUCAACAAACACAGUUGGGGGCCGGGCACGGUAUCUCACACCUGUAAUCUCAGCAUUUUUGGGAGACUGAGGUAGGAGGAUCACUUGAGGCCGGCAGUUUGAGAGCAGCCUAAGCAACAUAGACUCGUGUCUCUACAAAAAAUUUAAAAAUUAGCCAGGCAUGGUGGCAUACACCUAUAGUCCUAGCCACUCAGGAGGUGGAGGUGGGAGGAUUGCUUGAGCUCAGAACUUGGAGGCUACAGUGAGCUAUGGUCGUACCACUGCACACUCUAGCCUGGGUGACAGAGCAAGACCCUGUCUUAAACAAAAAAACAAAAUGGUGCUGGGAAAACCUGAUAGUCACAUGCAAAAGAAUGAAGUUGGACCAUUACCUUAGACCCUACACAAAAAUUAACUCAAAAUGGAUCAAAGACCUAGACAUAAAAGCUAGAACUACAAAUCAUUUAGAAGAAAGCAUAGGGGAAGGCCUUGUGACAUUGAAUUUGGCAGUGAUCUCUUACAUAUAUCAAAAACAAAAGCUAAGAAGAAACAGACAAACUGGACUUCAUCAAAUAAUAGAGUAAAAGGCAAUCCAUGGAAUGGGAGAAAAUCUUUUUUUUUUCUUUUUUGAGACGGAGUUUCACUCUUGUUGCCCAGGCUGGAGUGCAGUGGUACAAUCUCAGCUUACCGCAACCUCCACCUCCCUGGUUCAAGUGAUUCUCCUGCCUCAGCCUCCUGAGUAGCUGGAAUUAACAGGCAAGUGCCACCAUGCCAGGCUAAUUUUGUAUUUUUAGUAGAGACGGGGUUUCUCCAUGUUGGUCAGGCUGGUCUUGAACUCCCUAUUUCAGGUGAUCUGCCCACCUCGGCCUCCCAAAGUGCUGGGAUUACAGGUGUAAGUUACCGUACCCGGCCAAGGCAGUAAAUUUUAUGUUAUGUGAUUUUUACCAAAAAUAAAAAUAAUGGUUUGUAUAUUU